CUUCACCGAUCCCAGCCACAACGGCCGGUCACCGUCCCGCUCCUGCCCGUACGUGGCCAGCAGCGCCUGCGCCUC
Streptomyces sp. is the source of this 75-nucleotide non-coding RNA. It matches the Rfam family "ASpks TB sRNA". Lineage: Bacteria; Bacillati; Actinomycetota; Actinomycetes; Kitasatosporales; Streptomycetaceae. The record is from Rfam.